UUUUAAGUAAUCCACGGAAAUUUUUAAAACUUUUAUUUGUUACUUUUCGGUAGAUCGGUAGGUUCCUUGACAAAUCGGUAGAUCUACCGAAAAAUCGGUAGACCUGGCAUCUCGGGAUGCAAACAUAUGGGCGUUUAUUUUCAUGCACUUACGUGAGCACUCCCGGGGAAUUUUUGUAUUGCAGACUGCCUAAAAUCGGUGUGAAGCAAAUUCGAUCCUUACAAGCGAUAUUAAACUAUUUUUGUAUCACAAAUUAUCACAAUCCUCAUCUAGUCCGUUCUGUGUUUGCAGAUGAUAGUAAGAUUUUCACACAUGUGAAUUGUCACUCGCCUAGUCGAGACGUCUAGACCAGAUAAAUAAGCUCUCACCGAUUUUAGGCAAUCGGAAAUACAAAAAUUUUCCGGGGGUACUUACGCAUGGAAACGUUACGUAAACGCAUGGAAAUAAACGCCAUGGUGAUGGAUGCCAUCCAUUACAUAAUGGGGUAAGGAGACUUAAUUUGAAAGCAGUAGUUACACAGCAGAAGCAUUUGGUACAUCGCCAACAGGAGAGAAACCUAUAUGUAAUUAUGUUAUCCAUACACAUACCUAAAUAUAUAUUUGCAUUAGUAAUUGUACUAUAUUAAUGAAUUUGUUUUGUUACUUUGAAUUAGGUAUUUAUUUAAUUUCUGAAUUUUUGAUUCAUAACAUGAUUUUGCUUCUUGAGCAAAUGUUUCUGGUUUCUAUAACAAACACUUUUCACAAUAUAAUGGUAAUUGGCGUUUCGCCUAUUUAUUUACUGCAAUAAAAAUGUGUAAAUGUU
This is a long non-coding RNA of Dendroctonus ponderosae (mountain pine beetle), 801 nucleotides long. RefSeq lists it as uncharacterized. The transcript is spliced from 2 exons. NCBI's taxonomy places the organism in Eukaryota, Metazoa, Arthropoda, Insecta, Coleoptera, Curculionidae. The record is from RefSeq and is a predicted model, not a curated record.